GAUGAACGCUGGCGGCGUGCCUAAUACAUGCAAGUCGAGCGAACAGAUAAGGAGCUUGCUCCUUUGACGUUAGCGGCGGACGGGUGAGUAACACGUGGAUAACCUACCUAUAAGACUGGGAUAACUUCGGGAAACCGGAGCUAAUACCGGAUAACAUAUUGAACCGCAUGGUUCAAUAGUGAAAGGCGGCUUUGCUGUCACUUAUAGAUGGAUCCGCGCCGUAUUAGCUAGUUGGUAAGGUAACGGCUUACCAAGGCAACGAUACGUAGCCGACCUGAGAGAGUGAUCGGCCACACUGGAACUGAGACACGGUCCAGACUCCUACGGGAGGCAGCAGUAGGGAAUCUUCCGCGAUGGGCGAAAGCCUGACGGAGCAACGCCGCGUGAGUGAUGAAGGUCUUCGGAUCGUAAAACUCUGUUAUCAGGGAAGAACGAAUGUGUAAGUAACUGUGCACAUCUUGACGGUACCUGAUCAGAAGGCCACGGCUAACUACGUG
RNAcentral lists this ribosomal RNA (497 nucleotides) under uncultured bacterium. RNAcentral's name for it is "partial 16S ribosomal RNA". It matches the Rfam family "Bacterial small subunit ribosomal RNA", at positions 28 to 507 of the family's 1533-position model. The record is from RNAcentral.